AGCUUGGCUUUCUCUUCUUCAUUUUUUCCCAUGAGGUAUUCGUACACUUUGAUAUCGCCUUGAGUCAUUGGUUCUCCAGGCCGAAAAGUUCCGUCUCUCUGUCUCUGCUCACAUGAAAGAUGCUUCAGUCCUUUAGUCAUCUUUGUGGUCCUGCCCUGGACUCGCUUUGGUUUGUCCAUGUCUUUCUUAUACUGUGGGCCCAAAACUGGACUCAGCACUCCAGAUAUGCUGAGUACAGAGGAAGGAUCAGUUUCUUUGGCAUGCUGGCAAUGGUCUUCCUAAUGCAACCCACAACGUUGUUGGCUGACUCCAUCAUGAGGGUGUAUCAGUGAUGUGUGGUCAGCUUCUUGUCCCCAAGGACUCCAAUGUCAUUUUUUCAGAGCUACUCUCCAUCUGCUUAGCUCCUUGCUUGUAUUGAUGCCCGGAGUUAUUCUUAGCCCAGUGGAAGACUUUGCAUUUGCCAUUGUUGAACUUCAUGAGAAUCCUUUCUGCCCAGUUCUGCAGGCUCUGUGAAGGUCCCUCUGAGUCACAGCACAACCUUCUGGUGUUACAGCAACUCCUCCUGGUUUUGUAUCAUCUGUGAACUUGCUGAAGCAGCACUCUGCCCCAUCAUCCAGGUCAUUAAUGAAGAAGGGUAAGCCUUCCUUGGUCCAGAUUUUUUCUCUGGUUGCAGAGCCUCAGGAUUCCUGCAUGAAAUUCUAGUUUCCAAAAGCUGCACUGUGGGGGUUUCCAGAGAAAGCUCAAAUAUGUCGAUGGAGCAAGAGUGGCCUUGGGAGAAGGAUGCUGUUACGCCUGACGGAAUGAAACUGUGGGAUGAGAAAGCAAGAAUUCAGUACACACAAUCAAGUGCAUAGAGCAUUGUGACAUUGCUUAGAUAAGUCUUUCAAAAUAUUUAACCGCUAGCUUCUGCCUUGCCUGUUGAUAGCGGUAAGAAAGUAUCAAAACAUAAUGUUAAGUUAGCAGUAAAUAGGAGGGUGAUCUGUUAGUUGAUUGUUUUAUAGCUAUACACUAACAAUUGUGAUUGGACAUAAGUUUUAGAGUUAUUAUAUGAUUUGUAUCGAGAAGAACAUAAAAGGAGUCGGGCUGAGAAUAAAUGUGUCUCACUCUGCAUCCCAGAACGAGUCCGUGUAAUUUCAUGAUGCAACAUUGCACUUCUAUCUAAGGAAA
Molecule: long non-coding RNA, 1167 nt
Organism: Cuculus canorus (common cuckoo)
Lineage: Eukaryota; Metazoa; Chordata; Aves; Cuculiformes; Cuculidae
Exons: 3
Source: RefSeq, a predicted model, not a curated record